CGGUAAUACGUAGGGCGCAAGCGUUGUCCGGAAUUAUUGGGCGUAAAGAGCUCGUAGGCGGCUUGUCGCGUCGGUUGUGAAAGCCCGGGGCUUAACCCCGGGUCUGCAGUCGAUACGGGCAGGCUAGAGUUCGGUAGGGGAGAUCGGAAUUCCUGGUGUAGCGGUGAAAUGCGCAGAUAUCAGGAGGAACACCGGUGGCGAAGGCGGAUCUCUGGGCCGAUACUGACGCUGAGGAGCGAAAGCGUGGGGAGCGAACAGGAUUAGAUACCCUGGUAGUCCACGCCGUAAACGGUGGGAACUAGGUGUUGGCGACAUUCCACGUCGUCGGUGCCGCAGCUAACGCAUUAAGUUCCCCGCCUGGGGAGUACGGCCGCAAGGCUAAAACUCAAAGGAAUUGACGGGGGCCCGCACAAGCAGCGGAGCAUGUGGCUUAAUUCGACGCAACGCGAAGAACCUUACCAAGGCUUGACAUACACCGGAAACGGCCAGAGAUGGUCGCCCCCUUGUGGUCGGUGUACAGGUGGUGCAUGGCUGUCGUCAGCUCGUGUCUGU
RNAcentral lists this ribosomal RNA (552 nucleotides) under Streptomyces alanosinicus. Its description in RNAcentral is "bacterial SSU rRNA". It matches the Rfam family "Bacterial small subunit ribosomal RNA", at positions 518 to 1069 of the family's 1533-position model. The record is from RNAcentral. Lineage: Bacteria; Bacillati; Actinomycetota; Actinomycetes; Kitasatosporales; Streptomycetaceae.